UCCUAGGUGGCUUAGAUGGUAAAGGAUCUGCCUGCAAUGCAGGAUACCCAGUUUCAGUCUCUGGGUUGGGAA
RNAcentral lists this transfer RNA (72 nucleotides) under Capra hircus (goat). It matches the Rfam family "tRNA". Rfam says of the family: Transfer RNA (tRNA) molecules are approximately 80 nucleotides in length. Their secondary structure includes four short double-helical elements and three loops (D, anti-codon, and T loops). RNAcentral also lists the same sequence under 1 other name. Lineage: Eukaryota; Metazoa; Chordata; Mammalia; Artiodactyla; Bovidae. The record is from Rfam by way of RNAcentral.